RNAcentral lists this ribosomal RNA (430 nucleotides) under Pseudomonadota bacterium. RNAcentral describes it as "Proteobacteria bacterium partial 16S ribosomal RNA". It matches the Rfam family "Bacterial small subunit ribosomal RNA", at positions 355 to 776 of the family's 1533-position model. Lineage: Bacteria; Pseudomonadati; Pseudomonadota. The record is from RNAcentral.
UGGGGAAUAUUGGACAAUGGGGGGAACCCUGAUCCAGCCAUGCCGCGUGUGUGAAGAAGGCCUUAUGGUUGUAAAGCACUUUAAGCGAGGAGGAGGGUACUGGUAUUAAUACUACCAGGUACUGGACGUGACUCGCAGAAUAAGCACCGGCUAACUCUGUGCCAGCAGCCGCGGUAAUACAGAGGGUGCAAGCGUUAAUCGGAAUUACUGGGCGUAAAGCGCGCGUAGGUGGUUCGUUAAGUUGAAUGUGAAAGCCCCGGGCUCCACCUGGGAACUGCAUCCAAAACUGGCUAGCUAGAGUAGGGCAGAGGGUGGUGGAAUUUCCUGUGUAGCGGUGAAAUGCGUAGAUAUAGGAAGGAACACCAGUGGCGAAGGCGACCACCUGGGCUCAUACUGACACUGAGGUGCGAAAGCGUGGGGAGCAAACAGG